Molecule: ribosomal RNA, 253 nt
Filed under: uncultured bacterium
Lineage: Bacteria
Description: partial 16S ribosomal RNA
Rfam family: Bacterial small subunit ribosomal RNA
Source: RNAcentral
UACGUAGGGCGCAAGCGUUGUCCGGAAUUAUUGGGCGUAAAGAGCUCGUAGGCGGUCCGUCACGUCGGGUGUGAAAACCCGGGGCUCAACCCCGGGCUUGCUUUCGAUACGGGCAGACUAGAGUAUGGCAGGGGAGACUGGAAUUCCUGGUGUAGCGGUGAAAUGCGCAGAUAUCAGGAGGAACACCGGUGGCGAAGGCGGGUCUCUGGGCCAUUACUGACGCUGAGGAGCGAAAGCGUGGGGAGCAAACAGG